Molecule: ribosomal RNA, 207 nt
Filed under: uncultured bacterium
Lineage: Bacteria
Description: partial 16S ribosomal RNA
Rfam family: Bacterial small subunit ribosomal RNA
Source: RNAcentral
CUCGUAGGCGGCCAACUAAGUCAGACGUGAAAUCCCUCGGCUUAACCGGGGAACUGCGUCUGAUACUGGAUGGCUUGAGGUUGGGAGAGGGAUGCGGAAUUCCAGGUGUAGCGGUGAAAUGCGUAGAUAUCUGGAGGAACACCGGUGGCGAAGGCGGCAUCCUGGACCAAUUCUGACGCUGAGGAGCGAAAGCCAGGGGAGCAAACG